Molecule: ribosomal RNA, 263 nt
Filed under: uncultured archaeon
Lineage: Archaea
Description: partial 16S ribosomal RNA
Rfam family: Archaeal small subunit ribosomal RNA
Source: RNAcentral
AGGGUGUAAACGCUGCAGACUUGGUGUUGGAAGCCCUUUGGGGGCAUUCAGUGCCGGAGAGAAGUUGUUAAGUCUGCUACUUGGGGAGUACGUCCGCAAGGAUGAAACUUAAAGGAAUUGGCGGGGGGAGCACCGCAACGGGAGGAGCGUGCGGUUUAAUUGGAUUCAACACCGUAAAACUCACCAGGGAAGACUGUUACAUGAAGGCCGAGAUGAAGACUCUGCUAGAUUUUUCAGAGAGGUGGUGCAUGGCGUCAGUGACU